GAUGAACGCUAGCUACAGGCUUAACACAUGCAAGUCGCGGGGCAGCAUGGUGGUUGCUUGCAAUCCCCGAUGGCGACCGGCGCACGGGUGAGUAACGCGUAUCCAACCUGCCCUUCACCACGGGAUAACCCGGCGAAAGUCGGACUAAUACCGUAUGUUGUCCAUUGACGGCAUCCGAUUUGGACGAAAGGCUUGGCGGUGAGGGAUGGGGAUGCGUCCGAUUAGCCAGACGGCGGGGUAACGGCCCACCGUGGCUACGAUCGGUAGGGGUUCUGAGAGGAAGGUCCCCCACACUGGAACUGAGACACGGUCCAGACUCCUACGGGAGGCAGCAGUGAGGAAUAUUGGUCAAUGGGCGUAAGCCUGAACCAGCCAAGUAGCGUGCAGGAUGACGGCCCUAUGGGUUGUAAACUGCUUUUAUGCGGGGAUAAAGUGGCCCACGUGUGGGCUUUUGCAGGUACCGCAUGAAUAAGGACCGGCUAAUUCCGUG
RNAcentral lists this ribosomal RNA (490 nucleotides) under uncultured bacterium. Its description in RNAcentral is "partial 16S ribosomal RNA". It matches the Rfam family "Bacterial small subunit ribosomal RNA", at positions 28 to 507 of the family's 1533-position model. The record is from RNAcentral.